UUUUUGUUUUUAAAAUUAAAAAACAAAAUGAAGUAAAUUUUAAAAACAGAUUUUUGAUACUUUUAAAAAAUUUUAAAAACACUUUUUUCAUUUUGCUUCUCUCUCUCGGUCAAUUCCUCAGCUCAGAGCCUUCCAUGACUAGCUUCACCAGAUCUUGAGACUUGACUAAGUCAAUAAGGGGCGGGUUCUGGUUUCAGCACUAUUUUCCUCAAGAUUCGAAGAUCGCUCCAAGGUCUGACCACGCUCAAUCAGAAAAAGACGUAUAUUUUGAUAGAGAUGAAGACAUUCCUGAAGUACAAGAUGCUACUAUACAAAGGACCCACGAAACUUUGAAUGAUAGUGUUGAGUUUAGCAUUUCAAGAGAUCAACUUCGUGAAAUGGCUAAUGUCCGUGAUGAAAUUGCUGAUUAUAUAUGGAGAGAAAAUCGACGAUGAAGAUAAUGAGUGAAGAUUAUUAACAAUUAGAAUUUUUUUAAUAGUUUUCUUCAAGAUUAAACAAUUAUUAGUUCAUAUUUUAUUAUGACUUUGUCGGUUUUGUGUUAUAGAUAAUGAGUUUCGUGAUUUUAAAUUACUUGAUUUUUUUUUAAGAUGUUAAUGAGUAUUUUUUAUUUGAUUU
This is a long non-coding RNA of Cannabis sativa, 615 nucleotides long. RefSeq lists it as uncharacterized. The record is from RefSeq and is a predicted model, not a curated record. The transcript is spliced from 3 exons. Lineage: Eukaryota; Viridiplantae; Streptophyta; Magnoliopsida; Rosales; Cannabaceae.